Trichonephila clavipes is the source of this 73-nucleotide non-coding RNA. Lineage: Eukaryota; Metazoa; Arthropoda; Arachnida; Araneae; Nephilidae. The record is from the annotation of a GenBank genome assembly.
AUCCCUGUAGCGCAAUGAAUAGCGCGUUGGAUUUUUAAUCCAAAGGACGUGUGUUCAAACCUCACCUGGGAUG